GACGAACGCUGGCGGCGUGCUUAACACAUGCAAGUCGAACGGAAAGGCCCUGCUUUUGUGGGGUGCUCGAGUGGCGAACGGGUGAGUAACACGUGAGUAACCUGCCCUUGACUUUGGAAUAACUUCAGGAAACUGGGGCUAAUACCGGAUAGGAGCUCCUGCUGCAUGGUGGGGGUUGGAAAGUUUCGGCGGUUGGGGAUGGACUCGCGGCUUAUCAGCUUGUUGGUGGGGUAGUGGCUUACCAAGGCUUUGACGGGUAGCCGGCCUGAGAGGGUGACCGGCCACAUUGGGACUGAGAUACGGCCCAGACUCCUACGGGAGGCAGCAGUGGGGAAUAUUGCACAAUGGGCGGAAGCCUGAUGCAGCAACGCCGCGUGCGGGAUGACGGCCUUCGGGUUGUAAACCGCUUUCGCCUGUGACGAAGCGUGAGUGACGGUAAUGGGUAAAGAAGCACCGGCUAACUACGUGCCAGCAGCCGCGGUGAUACGUAGGGUGCGAGCGUUGUCCGGAUUUAUUGNGCGUAAAGGGCUCGUAGGUGGUUGAUCGCGUCGGAAGUGUAAUCUUGGGGCUUAACCCUGAGCGUGCUUUCGAUACGGGUUGACUUGAGGAAGGUAGGGGAGAAUGGAAUUCCUGGUGGAGCGGUGGAAUGCGCAGAUAUCAGGAGGAACACCAGUGGCGAAGGCGGUUCUCUGGGCCUUUCCUGACGCUGAGGAGCAAAAGCGUGGGGAGCGAACAGGCUUAGAUACCCUGGUAGUCCACGCUGUAAACGGUGGGUACUAGGUGUGGGGUCCAUUCCACGGGUUCCGUGCCGUAGCUAACGCUUUAAGUACCCCGCCUGGGGAGUACGGCCGCAAGGCUAAAACUCAAAGGAAUUGACGGGGCCCCGCACAAGCGGCGGAGCAUGCGGAUUAAUUCGAUGCAACGCGUAGAACCUUACCUGGGUUUGACAUGGAUCGGGAGCGCUCAGAGAUGGGUGUGCCUCUUUUGGGGUCGGUUCACAGGUGGUGCAUGGCUGUCGUCAGCUCGUGUCGUGAGAUGUUGGGUUAAGUCCCGCAACGAGCGCAACCCUUGUUCACUGUUGCCAGCACGUUAUGGUGGGGACUCAGUGGAGACCGCCGGGGUCAACUCGGAGGAAGGUGGGGAUGACGUCAAGUCAUCAUGCCCCUUAUGUCCAGGGCUUCACGCAUGCUACAAUGGCUGGUACAGAGAGUGGCGAGCCUGUGAGGGUGAGCGAAUCUCGGAAAGCCGGUCUCAGUUCGGAUUGGGGUCUGCAACUCGACCUCAUGAAGUCGGAGUCGCUAGUAAUCGCAGAUCAGCAACGCUGCGGUGAAUACGUUCCCGGG
RNAcentral lists this ribosomal RNA (1343 nucleotides) under uncultured bacterium. RNAcentral's name for it is "16S ribosomal RNA". It matches the Rfam family "Bacterial small subunit ribosomal RNA", at positions 28 to 1378 of the family's 1533-position model. The record is from RNAcentral.